RNAcentral lists this long non-coding RNA (408 nucleotides) under Elaeis guineensis (African oil palm). RNAcentral describes it as "long non-coding RNA (EGUI_LNC072681)". Lineage: Eukaryota; Viridiplantae; Streptophyta; Magnoliopsida; Arecales; Arecaceae. The record is from RNAcentral.
CCUGCAAUCAGAGUCAAGGGCGAAGUCCGGCUCCCGUAGGAGUUCGGAUGAAGUUUACCAUCAGUCGAGGUCGGGGUUGAAGUCCGGCUCCCGUAGGAGUCCGGGUGGAGUCUUCCCGUAGCCAGAGUCGGAGGCGAGGUUUGGCUCCCGUAGGAGUCCGGGCUGAAAUCUGGUAGUUGUAGGAAUCUACCGUUGGAGAAGUUCAGCCGUUGACGAAGUCCGGGGUAGUUUGGAUUGGAGUUGAACCUGGCUGGAAGAAGUCUGGAAGGGAUUCGGGGAGUAGCUGACAGUCGUAGAAAGUCGGCUGGCGGCAGAGCUUAGUGAGCGCUUAGGGCGGUUUAAUAGAUGACUGGGGGAACUCAUGUUGAAGGAGCUCGGGUGGUGUAGUGAAAGUUCGUCUGUCGGGGG